AUGGACAUGAAGUUAGAGGGGGCUACCAAUUAUCUGAGCUGGUCCCGGAGGGCGUUGCUGGCUGUGGAACAGAAGGAGCUUGAUGGGCACUUGUUGGGUGUUGUUGCUGAACCAGGAGACAAGACUACUGUGGAGGGAAAAAGAUGGAAGGUCAUAAACUCUGUGCUCAUUGGCUGGUUGUUGAACUCGAUGGUGCCCCCCAUUGUACGCUCUGUGGAGGGGCUAUCCACAUCCGCUGCGAUAUGGACGACUCUGUCCACCUUGUACUCAGGUAAGGGCAAUGUCAUGCUAAUUGCUCAGAUUGAGGGGAAGAUCAGUCGGCUGCAUCAAGGCGACGCCAUGUCAGUGAUGACAUAUGUGGCAGAGCUGCAGGCUUUGUGGGCAGAGCAGGAUAACUGCGACCCUCUGGAACUCUACGAUGCGGCUUGCAUCGAGUCAGGGCGCAAGUGGAUUGCACGCAGGCGUGUGCUGAAACUGUUGGAGGGGCUUAGAGGUUGUUUUCAUGGCAGGAGGGCAUCCCUGUUGCACCAACCUCUCCUGCCCUCUAUUGAGGAGACUAUUGCUGCUAUGUCUCAAGAGGAGGUGCGGCUAUCUCUUGAGCAUGCAGACAUGAAGGCUGUGCCGUCUUCGACAUUUGCAGUCACUGAGCGCAUGGAGUGGAGCGAUCCCAACAAAUGUCAUAUCUGUGGGGAGGCAGGUCACUGGAAGUGGGCGUGUCCAACUCGUGGCAGAGGCAGGGGAUACAACGGAGGGGGAACUGGCAGAGGCAGGAGUGCUAGAGGCAGAGGUGGAUACUCAGGGACCUCAAGGGGUCAGGCUUCUAGGGGCAGAGGUGGCUACUCAGGACACUCAGGGGAUCAGAGGGCUCACAUGACAGUGGCAGGACACUAG
This 891-nucleotide ribosomal RNA is filed under the name Triticum aestivum (bread wheat). Its description in RNAcentral is "partial small subunit ribosomal RNA". The record is from RNAcentral. Lineage: Eukaryota; Viridiplantae; Streptophyta; Magnoliopsida; Poales; Poaceae.